GCGCACAUGUUUGCUUUCCAAUUAAAGCGAAACAAUGAUAUCGCAUAUCACCUGACGCUAACGACGAAAAAUCAGCGCUAACGGUUUCCUUCGUCCGGCGUUACUUGAUAUCAAUUUGCGACGCACUGAAAAGGAACGACGAGAACGGCUUUUUUUCAUGCCGGCGUUAAUAGUCAUCGUUCAUUAAUCCCGUCGGAUUUCGCCGGAUCCGAUCAGCGGUAUAUCAUCCGCGACAAUAGCAACGGAGGAUCCUGUUACGAGCUUUGCAUGGAGCACACAGUCGUUCGGGCUGAGCGACCAAUUAAAAAAGCUAUCCCUAAUUAGUCGGAUAGCCGCGACUUAAUUUGAUUUGGCUCGAGGAGCCAGGGGCUUUUUCGAGCGUGUCUAAUGAGAACCGCGCGUCUGCCAGGAUUCGCUCGCUUUCCGGAAAUGUACAGUUUUUUUUAGCGAGAAAACAUUUCUUCCUCUUGGCUCGUUUUAUCGCGUCGCAAAUUGUGUCUGUCAACGCUUUAAUUUUCAUUGCCCGCGAUAUUUCAUCGAUGCUCGUAUGACGCACGCUUACCUGGAAAUCUUACCUUGCAAUUCAAUCAAUGAGCUCAGAAAAUUGCAUCCAAUUUUCAAGAACUACAAUGUGCGGUCAGCAUAAUUUAUGCUUGAACGCUGAGCAAUCAGUGAACACAAUAUAGGGAUGUUAUUUCACAAUAAUAUUGAAAGGAAAACAUCUUCUUCUCGGAAAAAGAAGGAGCAUCUCGAGCUUUUAAUAAGACAAUAAAGUAAUAAUAAGAUUCGAUCACUGUUGCGCCUGGCAUUCGUCGUGUCUUGGCGCAAGCACUGUGCACGCGUCGCUGGCGGACGCGAGAACGGGCCGAGUUCGCUGACCGGGGGCCGACGCGGCGAAUAGCAGAGAGAACGCACGCGAAAGAGCCCGCGAGAGAGGCGACCGGAGAGUAGACCGUGACCGUGGCCGUGACCGUGACCGUGGCCGAGUUGUUGCGAUCGCAAUAGACAUUGCCGGCAGCAGCCGCGGCGGUGACGAUACCGAAUAUAUCCAUGCGGCAAACUAUGACUCCGCGGAGACAAGAUUCGGGUCGAAAAAUGCAUCCGGAUGCAUUCGUCAAAUGCAGAUGUAGCUCAUUCAAAAUGAAGUAAUCAAUAAUGAAAGAUUUUACGUGAACAUUGUGGCAGAAGCACCCCAGUUGCGUCGAAGUCGGGAAACGGAAAGUUUAAGAUAAGCAUAAUGUGCUUAAUAUUAGCAGCGCUGAGUUUAUUUUCUUUAAUUUCGAAAGUUAAGCUACUCUUACAAGCUCCUCAGUGCUUAUUUUAUAAUCACGUAACUAAAAGACAAGUGAUAUGAAACAGAUUACCAGAUGCAAGCCUCACGUUCGUAAUACGCGAUAUAUUUCUUACGAGAUAUAAAUGAAUGCACCAAAAGAAAUAGUCGAGAAAGGAACCUAGAUCCACACCUAUUCGGCGACAAGGGUUGACGCUAUUGCGGGACACAAUCGGAACGACUACACGUCGUAAUGGAAAAAUAUCAUGGUUCUUCUGAGUGAGAAUGCGAGACGAUUCGAUUUUACAUGGACACGUACGUAUACCAAUAUACUUUGUGUUACUUUUUUUUUCAAUGAGGUAACUAUUCUCGAUCUAUUUGUUUCUCUCUUGAAGCUCGUAGUAAAGGUACAAAACGUCUAUUCUAAUAUAUUCUUCCUCUGGUCAUCAUUCAUUAUCAUACAAAUGCGCAGCAAUCCUAGCUUACACGAUCGAUUGGUACGACUAUUGUGAAAACACCACAGGCUCUAAACAUGGCCAUACGAUAUACACAUUUUUACACGGAUUAGUUCUCGGUGAUGUGCGCGAUUUCUGGGGUGAUUGGGAUUCUUCUCAACGAUUCUAAUUAUUCUGUGACAUUUGCUACGAUAUACUCUUGUGAAGAACAUGGUUGUUGGAAUUUUCAGUGCACACACAUAUGCAUUUAUGUUAAUGUUAUCCGAUAGUAAUUGCUGGCAACUAGAAAAAGUAUGUAUAAAACGAGAUAUUAUAAUCGUUCUUAUAGCAUAUUUUCAUUACUGAAAAGUGCACAUAGCAUUCACAUAUUCAUCAGAUAUUCAAUACAAUCAUAAGUUAAUAUAUUAGCCGUUUAAAUGCAUUAUAGCAAUAGAAACGAUUAUAACAUAAAGAAAUAGUAUUAUCACUCUAUCGGGCAAUGAUAAAAAAUUAAUUAUAAUUAUUUAUAGCAUUAUCUAUCGAGAGCUUUUUUUAGACAGCAGAAAGUUCAAUCAAUUUUGGAUGGAAAUGUGUACUCAUACGUAUGAAUAGGAAAAAUAUAACAUCGAUCUGAAACGAAUAGUCUUCCUAUUUAUGUAAACCUAUUAAAAUUUAUUAACGCAGAGACUUUUUCAAAAUCUCUUUUAUCUAUUGCAUUACAUUUAAUUAUUGUAAAUAAUAGUAUGGCCAUAAUUAUUGUAUGCAAAAACUCGUGUCAAUCAUUUCACAAGAUGCUAGAGAAUUUAUCUUGCUUACGAGGUUAGUAAUUAAUAUAAUAUAGAUUAUAAUAAUGCAAUAUUAAUGUAUCUACUUUUCAAGAUAAUAUUAAAAGUUUACGACCGACAUAAUAUUGCUGUUUAAGAAUAUUCUCGUAUGGAAAUAAAAUAAAAUAAAAUAAGAGCACUGUGACUGUCUUUCUUACAAUUUCUUUUAUCAAUUUUUUAAACCAAUAAAUAGUUAGCAUAUGAUUUUGUACACUGCGUAAAAUAUCGAAUACGUAAUAAAUGUACAGUUAUCAAAUCUGAUUCUUACAUCCAAAAACCAUGUUGUACAAAUAUUCUCUAAAUAUUUUCUGUUAGAGCACUUUAUUUUUUUAUAUAUAUAUAUAUUAGUAGAUCACCAUAGUAUGUAAUUGUAACAUUCACUGUAAACUUUACUUCUGCAUGUUAUGCAUCUAACACUCAUCAUUCCGGAAAUACUGAUUUGUCACAUCGUGCAUCGUUUAAGUAAUUACUACACUUGUACUAGUGACUAAAAUAUGUGUGUGUACUUUGCAAUUCUCGAAAUCUACUUCUAUGAUCAAAUAUCCAACCGAAGAAAAUUUUUAAUAAAUUACCGUUUAUACUC
This is a non-coding RNA of Linepithema humile (Argentine ant), 3111 nucleotides long. The record is from RefSeq and is a predicted model, not a curated record. Lineage: Eukaryota; Metazoa; Arthropoda; Insecta; Hymenoptera; Formicidae.